GAAUAUUGGACAAUGGGCGCAAGCCUGAUCCAGCAAUGCCGCGUGAGUGAUGAAGGCCUUAGGGUUGUAAAGCUCUUUCGCCCGCGACGAUGAUGACGGUAGCGGGAGAAGAAGCCCCGGCUAACUCCGUGCCAGCAGCCGCGGUAAUACGGGGGGGGCAAGCGUUGUUCGGAAUUACUGGGCGUAAAGGGCUCGUAGGCGGCCAACUAAGUCGGAUGUGAAAUCCCCAGGCUCAACCUGGGAACUGCAUCCGAUACUGGAUGGCUUGAAUUCGGGAGAGGGAUGCAGAAUUCCAGGUGUAGCGGUGAAAUGCGUAGAUAUCUGGAGGAAUACCGGUGGCGAAGGCGGCAUCCUGGACCGACAUUGACGCUGAGGAGCGAAAGCUAGGGGAGCAAACGGG
This 400-nucleotide ribosomal RNA is filed under the name uncultured bacterium. RNAcentral describes it as "bacterial SSU rRNA". It matches the Rfam family "Bacterial small subunit ribosomal RNA", at positions 359 to 776 of the family's 1533-position model. The record is from RNAcentral.